AACGAACGCUGGCGGCAUGCCUAACACAUGCAAGUCGAACGAGACCUCCGGGUCUAGUGGCGCACGGGUGCGUAACGCGUGGGAACCUGCCCGUAGGUUCGGAAUAACUCUCCGACAGGGGUGCUAAUACCGGAUAAUGUCUUCGGACAAAAGAUAUAUCGCCUUUGGAUGGGCCCGCGUUGGAUUAGCUAGUUGGUAGGGUAAAAGCCUACCAAGGCGACGAUCCAUAGCUGGUCUGAGAGGAAGAUCAGCCACACUGGGACGCGGACGCGGCCCAGACUCCUGCGGGAGGCAGGAGAGGGGAAUAUUGGACAAUGGGCGAAAGCCUGAUCCAGCACUGCCGCGUGAGUGAUGAAGUCCUUAGAGUAGUAAAGCUCUUUUACCCGGGAUGAUAAUGACAGUACCGGGAGAAUAAGCACCGGCUAACUCCGUG
This 433-nucleotide ribosomal RNA is filed under the name uncultured bacterium. Its description in RNAcentral is "partial 16S ribosomal RNA". It matches the Rfam family "Bacterial small subunit ribosomal RNA", at positions 29 to 507 of the family's 1533-position model. The record is from RNAcentral.